UGGUGCAUGGUUGUCGUCAGCUCGUGUCGUGAGAUGUUGGGUUAAGUCCCGCAACGAGCGCAACCCUUGAUCUUAGUUGCCAGCAUUCAGUUGGGCACUCUAAGGUGACUGCCGGUGACAAACCGGAGGAAGGUGGGGAUGACGUCAAAUCAUCAUGCCCCUUAUGACCUGGGCUACACACGUGCUACAAUGGAUGGUACAAAGGGCAGCGAAGCCGCGAGGUGGAGCGAAUCCCAUAAAACCAUUCUCAGUUCGGAUUGUAGGCUGCAACUCGCCUACAUGAAGCCGGAAUCGCUAGUAAUCGCGGAUCAGCAUGCCGCGGUGAAUACGUUCCCGGGCCUUGUACACACCGCCCGUCACACCACGAGAGUUUGUAACACCCGAAGUCGGUGAGGUAACUGGUGGUUUCACUGAGUAUCUGAUAAAAGUAGUCGGAAAUUCAGUGAAACCACUAGAGCCAGCCGCCUAAGGUGGGACAGAUGAUUGGGGUGAAGUCGUAACAAGGUAGCCGUAUCGGAAGGUGCGGCUGGAUC
This 533-nucleotide ribosomal RNA is filed under the name Escherichia coli. RNAcentral's name for it is "bacterial SSU rRNA". It matches the Rfam family "Bacterial small subunit ribosomal RNA", at positions 1039 to 1524 of the family's 1533-position model. The record is from RNAcentral. Lineage: Bacteria; Pseudomonadati; Pseudomonadota; Gammaproteobacteria; Enterobacterales; Enterobacteriaceae.